UACGUAGGGUGCAAGCGUUGUCCGGAAUUAUUGGGCGUAAAGAGCUCGUAGGCGGUCUGUCGCGUCGGCUGUGAAAACCCGGGGCUCAACCUCGGAUCGGCCGUGGCGACUCGUGGGCUGGAGCACUGUAGAGGCGGGUGGAAUUCCGGGUGUAGCGGUGGAAUGCGUAGAGAUCCGGAAGAACACCAGUGGCGAAGGCGGCCCGCUGGGCAGUGGCUGACGCUGAGGCGCGACAGCGUGGGGAGCAAACAGG
RNAcentral lists this ribosomal RNA (253 nucleotides) under uncultured bacterium. RNAcentral describes it as "partial 16S ribosomal RNA". It matches the Rfam family "Bacterial small subunit ribosomal RNA", at positions 524 to 776 of the family's 1533-position model. The record is from RNAcentral.